UAUGGCGUGAUAUGUGGUGAAAAUAGACUGUUAAUCAAUUGGUCGUAGGUUCGAUCCCUACCGCCGGAGCCA
Molecule: transfer RNA, 72 nt
Filed under: Paracoccus halophilus
Lineage: Bacteria; Pseudomonadati; Pseudomonadota; Alphaproteobacteria; Rhodobacterales; Paracoccaceae
Description: tRNA-Asn
Source: RNAcentral